AGUGAACGCUGGCGGUAGGCCUAACACAUGCAAGUCGAACGGCAGCACAGUAAGAGCUUGCUCUUACGGGUGGCGAGUGGCGGACGGGUGAGGAAUACAUCGGAAUCUACUUUUUCGUGGGGGAUAACGUAGGGAAACUUACGCUAAUACCGCAUACGACCUACGGGUGAAAGCAGGGGAUCUUCGGACCUUGCGCGAUUGAAUGAGCCGAUGUCGGAUUAGCUAGUUGGCGGGGUAAAGGCCCACCAAGGCGACGAUCCGUAGCUGGUCUGAGAGGAUGAUGAGCCACAGUGAAACUGAGACACGGUCCAGACUUCUACGAGGGGCAGGAGUGGGGAAUAGUGGAAAAUGGGCGCAAGCCAGAUAGAGCCAUACCGCGGGUGAAGAAGGCCUUCGGGUUGUAAAGCCCUUUUGUUGGGAAAGAAAAGCAGCAGGUUAAUACCCCGCUGUUCUGACGGUACCCAAAGAAUAAGCACCGGCUAACUUCGUG
Molecule: ribosomal RNA, 490 nt
Filed under: uncultured bacterium
Lineage: Bacteria
Description: partial 16S ribosomal RNA
Rfam family: Bacterial small subunit ribosomal RNA
Source: RNAcentral